RNAcentral lists this small RNA (651 nucleotides) under Pongo abelii (Sumatran orangutan). RNAcentral's name for it is "processed transcript". Lineage: Eukaryota; Metazoa; Chordata; Mammalia; Primates; Hominidae. The record is from RNAcentral.
GGUGCUGUGGGGCCGCGGAGCCGCGCGUGGCUGUCUCUAUGGCCCCGGAUCCGAGCGCAAAGCUGGGCCAGGCCUUUCUCACCGCCAAGUCCCCUGGUCCUGCAUGAAGGCUCUAGAGGGGCGCAAGCCAGGCCUCGGGCUGCGCGGGGUGCAGACCGGCCACCACGGAGUCGGGGACCAGCGCGGGGAGGGGGCCGCGUGGCGAACAGUGUUCCCCAGGAUCUGGGUCACGUCUCCCGGCGUCCGGCGGGAUCGAAGGAGAGCUUGUCCUCGAGCUGCAGCAGUAGAGACUGAGAAAACGGACCUCAGAAAACCAGGACUAGCUCUACUGUCGGGGGCAGGGUGACCCCAUCAGUAACCUACAACCCCUCUAGAACUUCACAACUCUCUCUCACCAUGGAGUUUGCAUUUGAUGCAGAAAGGCAUGUGAUCCCUCCCUCCUUCUGACCUCUUAGCUGGGAUUCCAUGGCCACACAACCCUGUGACUCCAUGUCCCCCCGAUUCCAGGACCCCCCAUGGCCCCAUGAUUCUUUGACUCCUGUGACCUUAUGACCCCUGACCUUCCAAGUGACUUCCUUGGACUUUGACCCCUGUGACUGUGCUUCCCAUUCCCCGCCCCCACAACCUGUGACUCUGGCUCCCUUUGGGGGU